UACAGAGGGGGCAAGCGUUGUUCGGAAUUACUGGGCGUAAAGGGCGCGUAGGCGGCCCGCUAAGUCGAACGUGAAAUCCCCGAGCUCAACUCGGGAACUGCGUCCGAUACUGGCGGGCUUGAAUGCGGGAGAGGGAUGCGGAAUUCCAGGUGUAGCGGUGAAAUGCGUAGAUAUCUGGAGGAACACCGGUGGCGAAGGCGGCAUCCUGGACCGGCAUUGACGCUGAGGCGCGAAAGCUAGGGGAGCAAACGGG
RNAcentral lists this ribosomal RNA (253 nucleotides) under uncultured bacterium. RNAcentral describes it as "partial 16S ribosomal RNA". It matches the Rfam family "Bacterial small subunit ribosomal RNA", at positions 524 to 776 of the family's 1533-position model. The record is from RNAcentral.